GAACGUACGCUGGCGGCACGCCUAACACAUGCAAGUCGAACGAAGUAGCAAUACUUAGUGGCAGACGGGUGAGUAACAUGUAGGUAUCUGCCCUUUGGCCUGGAAUAACACGAGGAAACUUGUGCUAAUACCGGAUAAGUCUUUACGGAGAAAGCUUUAUGCACCAUUGGAUGAGCCUGCACUUGAUUAGUUUGUUGGUGGGGUAAUGGCCUACCAAGACUGUGAUCAAUAGCUGAUUUGAGAGGAUGAUCAGCCACAUUGGGACUGAGACACGGCCCAAACUCCUACGGGAGGCAGCAGUGGGGAAUCUUGCACAAUGGAGGAAACUCUGAUGCAGCGAUGCCGCGUGAGUGAAGAAGGCCUUUGGGUUGUAAAGCUCCUUCGUCGGGGAAGAAAAUGACUGUACCCGAAUAAGAAGGUCCGGCUAACUUCGUGCCAGCAGCCGCGGUAAUACGAAGGGACCUAGCGUAGUUCGGAAUUACUGGGCUUAAAGAGUUCGUAGGUGGUUGAAAAAGUUAGUGGUGAAAUCCCAGAGCUUAACUCUGGAACUGCCAUUAAAACUUUUCAGCUAGAGUAUGAUAGAGGAAAGCAGAAUUUCUAGUGUAGAGGUGAAAUUCGUAGAUAUUAGAAAGAAUACCAAUUGCGAAGGCAGCUUUCUGGAUCAUUACUGACACUGAGGAACGAAAGCAUGGGUAGCGAAGAGGAUUAGAUACCCUCGUAGUCCAUGCCGUAAACGAUGUGUGUUAGACGUUGGAAAUUUAUUUUCAGUGUCGCAGGGAAACCGAUAAACACACCGCCUGGGGAGUACGACCGCAAGGUUAAAACUCAAAUGAAUUGACGGGGACCCGCACAAGUAGUGGAGCAUGUGGUUUAAUUCGAAGAUACGCGCAGAACCUUACCAACACUUGACAUGUUCGUCGCGACUCUAAGAGAUUAGAGUUUUCGGUUCGGCCGGACGAAACACAGGUGCUGCAUGGCUGUCGUCAGCUCGUGUCGUGAGAUGUUGGGUUAAGUCCCGCAACGAGCGCAACCCUCACUUUUAGUUGCCAUCAUUAAGUUGGGCACUCUGAAAGAACUGCCAGUGAUAAGCUGGAGGAAGGUGGGGAUGACGUCAAGUCCUCAUGGCCCUUACGUGUUGGGCUACACACGUGCUACAAUGGUAUCUACAACAGGAAGCAAGACUGCGAAGUUAAGCAAAUCCCUAAAAGAUACCUCAGUUCGGAUUGCACUCUGCAACUCGAGUGCAUGAAGCUGGAAUUACUAGUAAUCGUGGAUCAGCGUGCCACGGUGAAUGCGUUCCCGGGUCUUGUACACACCGCC
Molecule: ribosomal RNA, 1320 nt
Filed under: uncultured Alphaproteobacteria bacterium
Lineage: Bacteria; Pseudomonadati; Pseudomonadota; Alphaproteobacteria
Description: bacterial SSU rRNA
Rfam family: Bacterial small subunit ribosomal RNA
Source: RNAcentral